This 425-nucleotide ribosomal RNA is filed under the name Nasutitermes rippertii. Its description in RNAcentral is "partial 16S ribosomal RNA". The record is from RNAcentral. Lineage: Eukaryota; Metazoa; Arthropoda; Insecta; Blattodea; Termitidae.
UUACGUUGUUAUCCCUAAGGUAAUUUAAUCUUAUAAUCAAAAUAAAUGGAUCAAAAAAAUAUACAUAAAUAUACAAAAACAAAGAGGAGUUAAAUAAUUUCCUCCCAUCACCCCAACAAAACAAUUAUUCCUACUCAACGUCAAAAUAAACAAACAACAAACAAAUAAGGAAACUGUCAAACUCUAUAGGGUCUUCUCGUCCCAUAAAAACAUUUAAGAAUUUUAACUCAAACCCCAAAUUCAAUAAACCAAUGCCUCUAAGACAGCUUAUGUCUCGUCAAGCCAUUCAUACCAGAUCACAAUUAAAGAACUAAUGAUUAUGCUACCUUUGCACGGUCAAAAUACCGCGGCCCUUCAACUUAACAGUCAGUGGGCAGGCCAUACUUCAAAAACUAACAAGAAAAGAUGUUUUUGAUAAACAGGCG